This 522-nucleotide ribosomal RNA is filed under the name Portunus pelagicus (sand crab). RNAcentral describes it as "partial 16S ribosomal RNA". It matches the Rfam family "Bacterial large subunit ribosomal RNA", at positions 1829 to 2596 of the family's 2925-position model. The record is from RNAcentral. Lineage: Eukaryota; Metazoa; Arthropoda; Malacostraca; Decapoda; Portunidae.
GUCUAUUAUGAAUUUAUUUAUAGUCUAGCCUGCUCACUGAUAAAAUUAUUAAAUAGCCGCGGUAUCUUGACCGUGCAAAGGUAGCAUAAUCAUUAGUUUUUUAAUUGAAAACUUGUAUGAAUGGUUGGACAAAGAAAAAGCUGUCUCUUUCAUUAAAAUUGAAUUUAACUUCUAAGUGAAAAGGCUUAGAUAUUUUAGAGGGACGAUAAGACCCUAUAAAGCUUUAUAAAUUUAAAGAUUUUAUAUAUUUUUUAUUAUAAUGAUAAUUUCUCAAAAAUUUAUUGGGUUGGGGCAACAAAAGUAUAAUUAUCAAUAACUGCUAUAAAUUACUACAAUUAUUUUUGUUAUUAGAGAGUCGUUGAUCCUCGAAAGGGAUUAAAAGAUCAAGUUACUUUAGGGAUAACAGCGUAAUUUAUCUUGAGAGUUCUUAUCAAAGGAUAAGUUUGCGACCUCGAUGUUGAAUUAAAAUGUCUUUAUAGUGCAGCAGCUAUACCAAGAAGGUCUGUUCGACCUUUAAUUUUU